Molecule: ribosomal RNA, 460 nt
Filed under: uncultured bacterium
Lineage: Bacteria
Description: bacterial SSU rRNA
Rfam family: Bacterial small subunit ribosomal RNA
Source: RNAcentral
GAUGAACGCUGGCGGCGUGCUUACCUUUUGCAAGUCGAACGUGAAGGUGUAGCAUUAUGCCUGAAAGUGGCGGACGGGUGAGUAACACGUGGGUGACCUGCCGCAAAGGGGGGGAUAACGAGGGGAAACCUUCGCUAAUACCGCAUAGGCUUACACUGGGGGGAAUGGUGUGGGUAAAACUCUGGUGCUCUGCGAGGGGCCUGCGUCCAAUUAGCUAGUUGGUGAGGUAAUGGCUCACCAAGGCAAUGAUCGGUAGCUGGUCUGAAAGGACAAUCACCCACACGGGAACUGAAAAACGGUCCCAACUCCUACGGGGGGCAGCAGUGAGGAAUAUUGGGCAAUGGGCGCAAGCCUGACCCAGCACCGCCGCGUGAAGGAUGAAGGUUUUUGGAUUGUAAACUCCUUUUGUGGGGAAAGAGUGAGGACGGUACCCCAAGAAUAAGUCACGGCUAACUACGUG